This is a long non-coding RNA of Odocoileus virginianus texanus, 884 nucleotides long. RefSeq lists it as uncharacterized. Lineage: Eukaryota; Metazoa; Chordata; Mammalia; Artiodactyla; Cervidae. The record is from RefSeq and is a predicted model, not a curated record.
UUCCAAGCCACCAACUGUCAAGGAGUGACCGUUACUGAGAGAAUUCAACCAACUGUUGGCGGAAUGGUGGUCAUUAGGUAGAGAGUGAGAUUUAAAGUCUUGAGCAGAAGCACCUGAUCGGCCAAGACUGGAUUACACACUUGAGCCCAAACUUCCAGAGACAGUGAAAUCAAGGAUCAGGAUCAUUCACUGAAGUCUACAAAAUAGAGAAUUCCCGGAAACACAGGAAAGGGCUCCUUCAAAUUCUCUAUGCAUUUCCACUACAUCUGCUAUACUUAGGGUUAUCUCUAUCAAGCGUACCUACAGAUGUAUUUAUUAUACAGGUUCUACUGCAUGUCAGAGACUCAAAGUAACAGUGACUUACAUAAGAAUAACAAAUCAACAGCCUUGUGCAUUGAUGGAUGAAUGGAUAAGUGAAAAUGUGGCAGAUACACACAAUGGAAUAUUAUUCAGCUUUAAAUAGGAUGGAAAUUCUGACAUAAGAUAUUUGAGCAGACUUUGGAAGACAGUGAAAGACAGAGGAGCCUGGCAUGCUACCAUCCCUGGGAUCACAAAAAUUUGGAUACAACUUACCAACGGAACAACAACACAAGAUGAAAAGAGAUUUGCAGAUGAAUGGUGAUGAUAUUUGUACAACAGUGCUAAUAUACACAAUAGCACUGAACUGUACAUUAAAAUGGUUAAGAUAGUAAAUUUUGUGUUAUGUGUAUUUUACCACAAUAGCAAAAAUUUGGAAAAAAUGAUCAGUAGCUUUAUCUGAAUUCCCCAUGAAUACAAUGGACUGGUCUUCUACAUUAUUCGUUUCUAGUACCUACCUUUAGACUUCUUCAAGCAGUGUUUUUAUAGCACUCUAAGUGCCUAUAAGUGCUAUCAUAUCGCAGGGU